RNAcentral lists this unclassified non-coding RNA (3802 nucleotides) under Leishmania donovani. RNAcentral's name for it is "gene:LdHU3.32.2800(CDS-product:hypothetical_prote in_conserved)". The record is from RNAcentral. Lineage: Eukaryota; Euglenozoa; Kinetoplastea; Trypanosomatida; Trypanosomatidae.
ACGCAUAUAAAGAGUUGCUGUUUUUUUUUUUCUUACCUUUAACUCUUUGUGUAGCAAGGGGAGGAUCGAAGAUGAGUACAGUUCAGUUGCACCCCCAUUUCGUUGCGGCGUGUAACUAUGCCGAUGUUAGCUCCGUCGUAGGACUGCUGAAGGAGCCUAUUGACAGCGGCGACUUCAAGACAAACGACGGCGCUCCGUACCUCCCAUCGGCGUACACGAGCACCAUUCACCUGGGUGAUGCGCUGAGUGGGUUGUCGUAUUCGACUCGCCCGCCGUCGCCGCGGAAGCAGACUUCGAUUCUUACGACGAGCGCCCAAACCCCUUUCGCUACACACGCACCGAUGGCGUCGAAGCGGUCACCUCUUUCUUUGAUUGAGGCGGAUAUCGGGUCGGAGGACGAGAAGGCCACUCCUUUCUUAAUUGCUCCGUCGCAAACGUCGCCGACGCCGACCAGCUCGCGGCUGCGACUGAGCCAUUGCCAGUCGUUGAAGGGCGUCGAGCCACGCCGGCCAAAGGUGCUGUGCAUAUGGGACGUGGACGACACCCUCGUUGCAUCCGGAGCCAGCGGGGUUCGUCAGAACACUGUGUUCCGGGAUUCGGAACUGGUUGAACUCUUCCGCAGCGCCGGUGACACCGCGCGCCAUUUGCUUCUCUCGCAAGGGAGCAUCGACGAUGUCUUAGAGAGGCCGGGCGGGCGACUGUGGUGCGUGCGGCCCUUUCUGGAGCGCACCACUGGCUCCACCGGCGAUGGCCGUGCGACGGCCGGCUACACAGGUCGUUCCUCCUCGCCGCCAGCCUCGUCUCGCGGAGGCGCGCAGAAAGGGAAGUCGUUAUUUGCGAACUUUCUCCGUUGCGGGGGUGGCAGCCGGACAAAGGCGCAGCCGUCGUCAGCGUCGUCGGUGACCAGUCAAACCGGUGCAUGCAGUGGAGGCCGAGCGGCUAGAGAUGACUUGAGCGACCACGACCUGCGACACUUUGCAUCAGGCACGGUUGUGGUGCGCCUCGCCACCGUGCGGGAACGCAGCGAACAGGAAGAGGACUCUGCGUUUCUGGACGACCCGAGGGCGUCGCCGACGUGCAACCGCACCUUCGAUGGGCAGCUGGACGACAAGGCAGAACAGCAGGGCCGAUGGCUCAUUCUUCGACCGGAGGUGUGGGGCAUCACACUCGCGUCAAUGAGCACGUUCUUCCCACCGUCGCGCAACACAGCGUUCGUGAACGGCAAAGUAUACCGCAAGAUGGACGUCGUCUGGUCGCUUGCCAUGUCCAGCGAGUGGGACUCCGUCUUCUUCAUCGACAACAACCUCUCUGAGCUGGGCGUGGUGCGCUAUGGGCUGCAGAUGUCGGACAUGCUCGAUUUGCGGCGCCAGCACAAGGUGUAUCGUUUCUUCCAGGCCGAUUAUCUGCUCCUCGCGACCUCGGCGAAGCUUCGCGAUCUGGGACUGCGGUAUGGUCGUGACAUCACAAGGGCGCCCGACACCGCCGAGCUCGCGCCGUCGCUGGAAGACCAGCAGAAUCGUAGUAGUUGCGACCAGCAAGCACAGAAAGCGGCGUCCGUCGCUGCCACCAGCUCAAGCUCCUCGGCAACAGCACCAAAGAGCAGCAAAACCGAAGAGGCGAGCGAGUGGAAGUGGUGCAAAUCCGCUGCAGUGUCCAGCUCUGGCAGCGCUGACACCACAGGCUCCCGAACCAGUGGUGUAGCGAGCAGCGACGUCGGCCACUACGCAUCCUGGAAGGGGUGCUCAUCGAUGCGGGGCCCCGGCGGCAACGGGCUUGCGGACGACGUGAAAAUCGUAAAAUCAAACGAGGGGGACCGCACGCCUCUGCAUCGCGAUGCAACUUCCCCGCUAAUCGCGCAACGCCGACACGGAUCGAGCCACGGCUGCAGCUCUGUGGACGCGGAGUGCCUGCCACUCAACCUCCCCCCCUUCCCCUGCCACGCUCUUCACGAGGGCGGCGACGGCGAUCUCGGGGCCUCCGUGACCACGGCAACCUCAAUGGUGCGCUCUCCGACGCUUUCAUACAAGGAUGUGAACCUGAUUGUCGUGAACCUGCACAUGCCAUCUGAAGCGUAUCGCCGGGUGCUGACCACUGCACGCACCAGUAGCAGCGGACAGCGCAGCAUGCAGCGCGCCGACAGCCACCUCAGCAGGUACGUCGGUCAGCCUGUGUUUGUCGGCGACCGUAGCUGCACCGAUGAACAAUACAAGGACGUUCUCAAGUACUUUCAGGAGGCGGAGAGUACUCUAUUCCAGGUAGUCGAGGAAGAGAUGCGAGCGAACGGCUUCGUGGAUGUCAACAGGACGAGCCGCUGGGUGCCGUGCACGCGCAUGGUGUGCGCACCGAUUCGCAUGCGGCCGACGUUUGUGCCGCACAUGCUCAACUUCUACAAGCCUUUUUUCGAGGAGGUAGAGGAGCGGCUGGUCGCGACGCUGCAGCGCACAGGUGGUGCGAGUGCGUCAUGCGUGCUGCACGCAGAGGCGCAGCGACAAUACUACAUCCUGCAGCGCGUGCUCCCUUUCAUCGAUCCGUAUUUGACGGGUGACCUUGGCCGCAUUCUCUUUGACAUCUACACCACAGACGGCAGCAUUCCUCGCUCGUUGGCAGAGCAGCUGAAGAAAACGAUUGCCAGAACGCGGGAUCGCAUUCAGCCUUUGCAGAAGAAGAGACGGCGGUGAUGAGAGUUACGGGACUGGAAUGGUCCUCUGCGUGCGAGACGAGUGGAGGCCGGCCCAGUCGAAGAGUACAACGCAUGAUGCGAAGAAGCGUCCGGCAACAUCCUUUUUCAUUUCUGUGGAUUCUUCACAUGUGCAAGUGGAUCACGUCUCGCAUGUGAGUGAGUUCCUCGAGGACUCUGAGACAACGAGCGAGUGCAUGUUGCGGCUCCGAUAGUUCUUGCCGACUCUUGUGUGCGGUGUUCGCUGUGCUUCGCUUUAUGUUUCUCCAAGCUCUUUUCCUUUGUUUUUCGAGAACCCUCCGCUGCCCUCCACGCCUGGAAGGGCUUGUUUUACGGAAGAUUAUGAACAACAGGCACGCGGUGGUGACGGCAGGGGCGGGAUUACCGGUGGCGUAUGCGCUUUAGCGACAGCGUAGCCAACCAGCAGUGCAGAAACCUCGAAGAAGUCGGCGGCUGUCGCCGAGCGGAUUGCGGCGAUUACACUCUUUUUUUCUUUGUUUCUUCAUGUAUGGUAGCCGUUCUCAGAGCUAGUACACAUUCCCGCAGCUGCGCACGUGGUGCGUCUUGCGUGCCUCUUUGGUCGCAAAUGAGUGGACACACAUGUGAGAGCGCCUGCCGAUGUGUGCCUUAGGUCUACGUGCGUGUAUACGGGUGCGCUCUUGCUUUCUUUUCCCGCCUGUGUUCCUUAUUAUAUAUUUCCAUAUAUCUGUAUGUGCUGUUUUGGUUGCGUGUUCGAGUGUUGUCUCAACAUGGGCGGCGACUGUGUUUGAGGUGCCUCGUAUGGAUGGCGGGAGCACCGACGCUGCACACCCUCUCCUUAUGCUCGUCUCCCUUUUUUUUUUCGCUCCUCUAGUACUCCACGCUUUCACUUUUCUCCAUUGCCAUUUAUUUCGCUCUCGCUCGUGUAUGUGUGGAUGUGCAUCCUUCGUCCAUCAAACCUUCGCGUUGCUGGCCGUCAACGCUCUUCUUCUUUCUUUUCUCUGUGCGCGUGCGCGUGCAUGUGAGCAGGUGUGUCACAGGACAGCGUAUGCAACCGUUUACCACGCCCGCCGUGGCUUUCGCCAUUGUUCUCCGACACCCCUCUUCCCUUUCCUUUUCCCGCUGCCUUUGUGCUUUGCUGCUCUU